UACGUAGGGUGCGAGCGUUGUCCGGAAUUAUUGGGCGUAAAGAGCUUGUAGGCGGUUUGUCGCGUCUGCCGUGAAAGCCCAGGGCUUAACCCUGGGUCUGCGGUGGGUACGGGGCAGACUAGAGUGUGGUAGGGGAGACUGGAAUUCCUGGUGUAGCGGUGAAAUGCGCAGAUAUCAGGAGAAACACCGAUGGCGAAGGCAGGUCUCUGGGCCACUACUGACGCUGAGAAGCGAAAGCAUGGGGAGCAAACAGG
RNAcentral lists this ribosomal RNA (254 nucleotides) under uncultured bacterium. RNAcentral describes it as "partial 16S ribosomal RNA". It matches the Rfam family "Bacterial small subunit ribosomal RNA", at positions 524 to 776 of the family's 1533-position model. The record is from RNAcentral.